RNAcentral lists this ribosomal RNA (440 nucleotides) under uncultured bacterium. RNAcentral's name for it is "partial 16S ribosomal RNA". It matches the Rfam family "Bacterial small subunit ribosomal RNA", at positions 338 to 795 of the family's 1533-position model. The record is from RNAcentral.
CCUACGGGAGGCAGCAGUGGGGAAUAUUGCACAAUGGGGGAAACCCUGAUGCAGCGACGCCGCGUGAGCGAUGACGGAUUUCGGUAUGUAAAGCUCUAUCAGCAGGGAAGAAGAUGACGGUACCUGACUAAGAAGCCACGGCUAACUACGUGCCAGCAGCCGCGGUAAUACGUAGGGGGCAAGCGUUAUCCGGAUUUACUGGGCGUACAGGGAGCGUAGGCGGAGUUGCAAGGCAGAUGUGAAAGCCCGGGGCUCAACCCGCGGACUGCAUUUGGAACUGUGUGGCUGGAGUGUCGGAGAGGCAGGCGGAAUGCCUAGUGUAGCGGUGAAAUGCGUAGAUAUUAGGAAGAACACCAGUGGCGAAGGCGGCCCGCUGGACGGUGACUGACGUUGAGGCUCGAAAGCGUGGGGAGCAAACAGGAUUAGAUACCCUAGUAGUC